This 266-nucleotide long non-coding RNA is filed under the name Elaeis guineensis (African oil palm). RNAcentral's name for it is "long non-coding RNA (EGUI_LNC054515)". The record is from RNAcentral. Lineage: Eukaryota; Viridiplantae; Streptophyta; Magnoliopsida; Arecales; Arecaceae.
GAUUCAGAUUUUUGGACUUGAUGCUCUUCAGAGAUUUUUUCUUCGAGCUCAAUCUUCCUCCCACUGCAUCCAUCUUGGAUAAUUUUUUUUUCAAGAAGACAGCAUAAUGGCUCAUAAUCACAUUGUGAUCCUCAGAAAGAUAAAAGUAGUAUCCUAUGAUUUCCUUAAGAUACCCUAUAAAGUGAGUCCUAAAAGAUCUAACCUCUAACUUAUUUGUCUGCUAUCGCUUGACAUGGGCCGGAUAUCUUCAAAUCUUGAGGUACCCA